CGGGGGGAGCAAGCGUUGUUCGGAUUUACUGGGCGUAAAGGGCGCGUAGGCGGCCUCUGCAAGUCGACUGUGAAAUCUCCGGGCUUAACCCGGAAAGGUCAGCCGAUACUGCAGGGCUAGAGUGCAGAAGGGGCAACUGGAAUUCUCGGUGUAGCGGUGAAAUGCGUAGAUAUCGAGAGGAACACCUGCGGCGAAGGCGGGUUGCUGGGCUGACACUGACGCUGAUGCGCGAAAGCUAGGGGAGCGAACGGGAUUAGAUACCCCGGUAGUCCUAGCCUUAAACGAUGAAUGCUUGGUGUCUGGGGUUUUAUAGUCCCCGGGUGCCGUCGCUAACGCUUUAAGCAUUCCGCCUGGGGAGUACGGUCGCAAGACUG
This 374-nucleotide ribosomal RNA is filed under the name uncultured organism. Its description in RNAcentral is "bacterial SSU rRNA". It matches the Rfam family "Bacterial small subunit ribosomal RNA", at positions 526 to 896 of the family's 1533-position model. The record is from RNAcentral.